This 585-nucleotide ribosomal RNA is filed under the name uncultured bacterium. RNAcentral describes it as "bacterial SSU rRNA". It matches the Rfam family "Bacterial small subunit ribosomal RNA", at positions 338 to 916 of the family's 1533-position model. The record is from RNAcentral.
CCUACGGGAGGCAGCAGUGGGGAAUUUUGGACAAUGGGCGCAAGCCUGAUCCAGCCAUGCCGCGUGAGUGAAGAAGGCCUUCGGGUUGUAAAGCUCUUUCGGCGGGGACGAAACGGUCCGUGCCAACACCACGGACUAAUGACGGUACUCGCAGAAGAAGCACCGGCUAACUACGUGCCAGCAGCCGCGGUAAUACGUAGGGUGCGGGCGUUAAUCGGAAUUACUGGGCGUAAAGCGUGCGCAGGCGGCUCCUCAAGUCAGAUGUGAAAUCCCCGGGCUUAACCUGGGAACUGCGUUUGAAACUAGGGAGCUUGAGUGUGGAAGAGGGGGGUGGAAUUCCAGGUGUAGCAGUGAAAUGCGUAGAGAUCUGGAGGAACACCGAUGGCGAAGGCAGCCCCCUGGGCUAACACUGACGCUCAUGCACGAAAGCGUGGGGAGCAAACAGGAUUAGAUACCCUGGUAGUCCACGCCCUAAACGAUGUCAACUGGUUGUCGGGGAAGCAAUUCCUUGGUAACGAAGCUAACGCGUGAAGUUGACCGCCUGGGGAGUACGGCCGCAAGGUUAAAACUCAAAGGAAUUGACGG